AGAGUUUGAUCAUGGCUCAGGGUAAACGCUGGCGGCGUGCCUAAAACAUGCAAGUCGAACGGGCAGUCUUCGGAUUGUCAGUGGCAGACGGCUGAGUAACGCGUGGGUGACGUACCUAUCGGUGGGGAAUAACUGCCCGAAAGGGUGGCUAAUACCGCAUACGUCCACUUCUUCGUUGGAGUGGGGAAAACCUUGUAAAAGGUGCCGAUGGAGCGGCCCGCGUUCGAUUAGCUGGUUGGUGGGGUAACGGCCUACCAAGGCGACGAUCGAUAGCUGGUCUCAGAGGAUGAUCAGCCAGACUGGGACUGAGACACGGCCCAGACUCCUACGGGAGGCAGCAGUUAGGAAUUUUGGGCAAUGGGCGCAAGCCUGACCCAGCAACGCCGCGUGGGUGACGAAGGCCUUCGGGUUGUAAAGCCCUUUUCUGAGGGAAGAUGAUGACGGUACCUCAGGAAGAAGCACCGGCUAACUACGUGCCAGCAGCCGCGGUAAUACGUAGGGUGCGAGCGUUGCCCGGAUUUAUUGGGCGUAAAGGGCGCGUAGGCGGUCACGCACGUCCGUUGUGAAAUCGCUCGGCUCAGCUGGGCGGGGUCAGCGGAUACGGCGUGGCUGGAGCAAGCUAGGGGGCAAUGGAAUUCCCGGUGUAGUGGUGGAAUGCGUAGAUAUCGGGAGGAACACCAGUGGCGAAGGCGGUUGCCUGGAGCUUUGCUGACGCUGAUGCGCGAAAGCGUGGGGAGCGAUCCGGAUUAGAUACCCUAGUAGUCC
Molecule: ribosomal RNA, 765 nt
Filed under: uncultured bacterium
Lineage: Bacteria
Description: bacterial SSU rRNA
Rfam family: Bacterial small subunit ribosomal RNA
Source: RNAcentral